Pelobates cultripes (western spadefoot toad) is the source of this 288-nucleotide non-coding RNA. Lineage: Eukaryota; Metazoa; Chordata; Amphibia; Anura; Pelobatidae. The record is from the annotation of a GenBank genome assembly.
AAAAUCUACUUUACCCUAUUGAGCGGAGGAGGUGCCAAGCCUUUCAUUUCACAACAGGCCGUAAGGAACUGCUUUAUGACAAAAUGGAAGUCUAUAAUCAUUAAUGUGUAGAAAAUAAAAUGCACAUAUCACCCAACCUUACAAUGAACUGAAAUAUAACAUACUUUUAGGUACAACCUGGCCUCUAACAAUACAAAUUCAAAUUAUUGGCAUUUUUCACUCAAAUGUAGUAAUUUCUGCUCACGUAUACAGCCAUACUUUGUGUACCCUUCAAAAUGCAAAGAGCAG